CACCUCUGUUCGCUCGCGCCCUAGCUCACUUCGGUGUGUCAGUGUGCCACUUACCAAAAAGCAUACC
Molecule: long non-coding RNA, 67 nt
Organism: Aricia agestis (brown argus)
Lineage: Eukaryota; Metazoa; Arthropoda; Insecta; Lepidoptera; Lycaenidae
Exons: 3
Source: RefSeq, a predicted model, not a curated record